RNAcentral lists this microRNA precursor (122 nucleotides) under Lotus japonicus. RNAcentral's name for it is "miR7545 stem-loop (lja-MIR7545)". The record is from miRBase by way of RNAcentral. Lineage: Eukaryota; Viridiplantae; Streptophyta; Magnoliopsida; Fabales; Fabaceae.
UGUGUGAUUGGGAAAGCUAGAGUGCUACUGAUAGGAGGAGAAAAGUAAUGUAUCAGAAACAAUGUGAUUUGUACAUAUUAUUGUUCACAUUCUAGCUUUCUUAACAUGAACAUUCUUAUACA